UACGUAGGGUGCAAGCGUUGUCCGGAAUUAUUGGGCGUAAAGGGCUCGUAGGCGGUCCAUCGCGUCGGGAGUGAAAAGCUGGGGCUUAACCCCAGUCCUGCUUCCGAUACGGGUGGACUAGAGGUAGGUAGGGGAGAACGGAAUUCCUGGUGUAGCGGUGAAAUGCGCAGAUAUCAGGAGGAACACCGGUGGCGAAGGCGGCAUCCUGGACCAACACUGACGCUGAGGAGCGAAAGCCAGGGGAGCAAACGGG
Molecule: ribosomal RNA, 253 nt
Filed under: uncultured bacterium
Lineage: Bacteria
Description: partial 16S ribosomal RNA
Rfam family: Bacterial small subunit ribosomal RNA
Source: RNAcentral